Transfer RNA from Felis catus (domestic cat), 85 nucleotides. It matches the Rfam family "tRNA". From Rfam's summary of the family: Transfer RNA (tRNA) molecules are approximately 80 nucleotides in length. Their secondary structure includes four short double-helical elements and three loops (D, anti-codon, and T loops). The record is from Rfam. Lineage: Eukaryota; Metazoa; Chordata; Mammalia; Carnivora; Felidae.
GCCUGAGUGGCUCAGUCGGUUAAGUGUCUGACUUCAGCUCAGGUCAUGAUCUCACAGUUCGUGGGUUCAAACCCCUCAUCGGGCU